RNAcentral lists this long non-coding RNA (280 nucleotides) under Mytilus galloprovincialis (Mediterranean mussel). Lineage: Eukaryota; Metazoa; Mollusca; Bivalvia; Mytilida; Mytilidae. The record is from RNAcentral.
ACCAUAAAAGGAACAACAGCAAAAGGUCACCAAUAAGUCUUCAAUGCAGCAUGAAAUUCCUGCAACCACGGGCGCCCUUCAGCUGGUCCCUAAACAAAUAUCUAUACAACUUCAGUGAUAAUGAACACCAUAUUAAACUCCAGAUUAUACACAAAAAAAUAUAAUUAAAAAUACAAGACUACCAAAUGCCACUUAGAGGCACCUGACUUGCGACAGGCUCAAAAAUGUGAUGGGUUUAAACAUGUUUAUGAGAUCUCAACCCAACCCCUCUACCUCUAAC